GUCAGCAGCCAUACUACCUGCAGUUCAGAGUAGGUAAUACAUCUGAUGCUAAGCAGGUUUGGGCCUGGCCAGUACUUGGAUGGGAGACCAACUAGGAAAGUGAGUUGCUACUGGAA
This 116-nucleotide ribosomal RNA is filed under the name Paramormyrops kingsleyae. Lineage: Eukaryota; Metazoa; Chordata; Actinopteri; Osteoglossiformes; Mormyridae. The record is from RNAcentral.